Molecule: long non-coding RNA, 1609 nt
Organism: Oreochromis aureus
Lineage: Eukaryota; Metazoa; Chordata; Actinopteri; Cichliformes; Cichlidae
Source: Ensembl
CACAAUGUUGGUCUGAGUCUAAACAUGAUGAUAAGCAGAGACGUCUGAUGUCUACAGUCGUCUGCUGGAUGUUCAGGAUAGUUCAUUUCCAUCUGUCCUCAGAUCGUCUGACUCACAGUUCAGAUGUUAAGAAUUAGGAGGCAGGACACUGAUUUGAACGUUGAGAUGGUUUAUGUUUUCUGUAGAUCAAAAAACAACUGCAGCAGGAGACUCAGAGUUCAGCUGUAAAAAACUAUGAGAUAUUUCAAACAUGGUACUAACAAACAGGAAGCUGGUAUGGUCUCUGGCCCUGUUUGCAAUGUCUUGUGUAGAUAAAAAAAACAGCAGCAACAAGAAUUACAGCAGAAACACUCAGACCAACUAUCGUUCCAACAGAUCCAUCCUUCUCUUGUCCUCCUGUCUGACCUGCAGGUGAGAAACAGGUGUGAGGUGUCAGCUGUCAGGUAGGUGAUGAGUGAAGAACAGAACAGAAUCCAUUUCCUCUUCUAAUGCAGUAGAUUAGCACUUUAAUAAAAAAAUCCAUAUGAUCUGACCAAAACUGUUAAAAACUGUUGUAAUAAACGAAAACCUAGCCAGGUUAUAAAGGACCAAAGGACGGCUGGAGCCUUGCUCAGCUACUGCAGGGUGAGAGGCAGGGUACACCCUGGACAGGUUGCCUGUCUCUCGCAGGGCUAACACAGAGAGACAGGCAACCACUCACACUCACAGGAAAUUUAGAAUGACCAGUUAACUUAACCCCACUAACUGCAUAUCUUUGGACUGUGGGAGGAAGCCAGAGCUGAACAAAAACACCCUGAUAACAGACUGUGCAUAGACUGUUUCUUCCUAUUCUAUGCAAGGCCACCUGGGUUGGCUGGAAGACUGUUUACUUAGCCUGGCAGGGCGAAGGACACUGUGUCAGCUGAACUCUGGACACACACACACAUACACUGAUACACACUCAUCCCCCCUCCCUUUCCAAACACCUUCGAUGCUUGUGCCCUACCGGGGCAGAUGGCGGGUUGACUGGACCAGCGCAGACAUGCUGCAGGACCGGAUGCGCUGUCUACACCGGCUCUCUCUUACCCUUACCCGCCCCUGUUGCUUGUCUUGUGUUUCUAUGGUGUAUUGACAGUCAUGUGCUUUUUGUGCUGGGGUGUUUUUACUGUUCUCAAACUGUUCUCUCAUUACGAGCUCAGUCUGAGUGGAGUUUUUUCUCCUCCUCUCACCUCAUGUUAUGUAUUUUCAUUGGUUUUUUUCCAAUCAGCCUACCUCUCUGACAUGUCUUCCCAAUGUGAUGUUUGUGUAAAGUUCGGUCAGAAGGUUCCUUUGUGCCAUUAGCGUGCUGCCUGCUGUAACCCUAAUUUCCUUCAGGAUUAAUAAAGUAUUAUGAUUCUGAUUCUAGGCCUGAUGGUGGAAUUGUACCCAAGACCUUCUUCCUGUGAGCCAGCAGUGCUAACUAUGAUGCAACCAUGCUAAUUAUUAAGAAUCACAUUUGUUUUUCAAAGUACCAGAAAAUUAUAACUUAGACAUUCCAGGGUUUAGGGUUUAUGUAUUUAUGACUUUUACUCAUUUGACUUAACUGGAAGGGGAAAAGACAGAAGAUGGAGUUUCACAAAGCCAAAAAAAA